RNAcentral lists this ribosomal RNA (426 nucleotides) under uncultured bacterium. RNAcentral describes it as "partial 16S ribosomal RNA". It matches the Rfam family "Bacterial small subunit ribosomal RNA", at positions 354 to 796 of the family's 1533-position model. The record is from RNAcentral.
GUGAGGAAUUUUCCGCAAUGGGCGAAAGCCUGACGGAGCAAUGCCGCGUGAAGGAUGAAGGCCUAUGGGUUGUAAACUUCUUUUCUCAGAAAAGAAUUAUGACGGUAUCUGAGGAAUAAGCAUCGGCUAACUCUGUGCCAGCAGCCGCGGUAAGACAGAGGAUGCAAGCGUUAUCUGGAAUGAUUGGGCGUAAAGCGUCUGUAGGUUGUUUAAAAAGUAUUUUGUCAAAGAUGAGGGCUUAACCCUAAAUAGGAAGAAUAAACUUUUAAGCUAGAGUGUGGUAGAGGCAGAGGGAAUUCCCGGUGGAGCGGUGAAAUGCGUAGAUAUCGGGAGGAACACCAAAGGCGAAGGCACUCUGCUGGGCCAAUACUAACACUGAGAGACGAAAGCGAGGGGAGCAAAUGGGAUUAGAUACCCGGGUAGUCC